This 2685-nucleotide ribosomal RNA is filed under the name Triticum aestivum (bread wheat). RNAcentral describes it as "partial small subunit ribosomal RNA". Lineage: Eukaryota; Viridiplantae; Streptophyta; Magnoliopsida; Poales; Poaceae. The record is from RNAcentral.
AUGGAGAAAGCACGCGCAGCCAUCCUCUUCCUGCUACUCCUCGUCGAUUUCGCCGUAGCAGCACAAAACGCCACCGCCGGCGAAGCAGAUGGAUUCCACGUCGGGGUGAUCCUCGACCUGGGAUCGCCGGUGGGCAAAGUGGCGCGGACCAGCGUUCUGCUGGCCGUCCAAGAUUUCUACGCCGUCCACCGGAACUACAGCACGAAGCUUGUUCUCCAUAUUACGGACUCCAUGGGCAGCGAUGUCCAGGCUGCAUCAGCAGCUAUUGAGUUGCUGGAGAAAUACAAAGUGCAGGCCAUCAUUGGUCCCCAGAAAUCAUCAGAAGCUGUGUUCAUAUCCAGUGUUGGAAAUUUAACCCAAGUCCCCAUAGUAUCAUUCACAGCAACAAGCCCCUCUCUCACUUCUGAUAGUAUGCCGUAUUUUGUACGAUCAACACUGGAUGACUCGGCUCAGGUGAAUAGCAUUGCCUCGCUUGUACAGGCCUAUGGAUGGAGAGAGGUGGUGGCAGUAUAUGACGACACCGACUAUGGGAGAGGCAUUCUACCAUACCUCAUUGACGCACUUCAAGAAAUUGAUGUCCGUGUUGGGUAUCGCAGUGUUAUCCCUUCAACAGCAACAAAUGAGGCCAUGGUGCAAGAACUCAAUGGAUUGAUGGCAAUGCAAACAAGGGUAUUUAUUGUUCAUAUGUCAUCCACUAUGACCUCCCUUCUUUUUACAAAGGCAAAAGAGGUAGGGAUGAUGAACAAGGGAUUUGUUUGGAUGACCACAAGUGGAGUGGCAAACAUCAUCGACUCACUCAAUCCAAGUGUCAUUGAGGCAAUGAAUGGUGUGCUAGGAGUAAGAUAUCAUGUUCCCAGAUCACAAGAACUUGACAACUUAUCCAUAAGGUGGAACAGAAUGUACCAACACGAUAACCCGGAGGAGUCACCCUUUAAUAAACUAAGCAUUUUUGGACUAUGGGGCUAUGAUACGGUAUGGGCAUUGGCACAAGCAGCAGAAAAGGUUGGGAUAUCCGGUGCCAGAAAUAAGCAACCAUGGUCCAUUAAAAACUCCACAUGCUUGGAAUCAAUGGUUAUUUCCACUAAGGGUCCUGAACUCUUAAAGGCAAUCGUACAAAACAAAUUCAGAGGUUUAAGUGGUGACUUUGACCUUACAGGCAGACAACUUAAAGUUUCUGUGUUCCAAAUAAUAAACGUGGUUGGGAGAGGUUGUAGAGAAAUCGGGUUUUGGACUAUGAAUAGUGGACUUUCACGGCAGUUAAAGCAAGAAUACUUCAAAAAGACAGGACCAGACUCAAUGCCUGACCUAAAUCCUAUAAUUUGGCCAGGAGAGUCCACCGAAAUACCAAUGGGCUGGGAAAUUCCUACGGUUGGUAAGAAGCUUAGAGUUGGUGUGUGCUCGAGCGAAAAUCCAGAGUUUAUAAACACAUACAAAAAUCCUGCCACAAAUGUAACAACAGCGAGUGGACUGGUAAUUGACAUAUUUGAGGAGGCAGUAAAGAGGCUACAUCAUCCAUUUUCUUAUGAGUACCUAAAUUUUGACACAGCUGAUACAAAAACUUCGGGGAGCUACAAUGAUUUUGUUUAUCAAGUCUAUCGUGGGGAAUACGACAUAGCUGUUGCAGACAUUACUAUAAGAUACAAUAGAUCACUGCAUGUCGACUUCACCGUACCAUACACAGAAUCCGGAGUAGGGAUGAUUGUUCCAUUCAAGGAAAAAGUGAAUACGGAUAUGUGGCUUUUCUUGAAACCACUGAGCAUUGAGAUGUGGUUUGGAAGCAUCAUAUUCUUUAUAUACACAGGAGUUGCUGUCUGGCUGUUGGAGUAUCUAAAUGGCAAUGAACAUGUUCAUGGUCCCCUAUCACUCAAACAAUUGGCGAUUACAAUAUUCUCCAUUUGUGAACAGAAGGAGGAGCUGGAACACUUUCUAGCUAGAACUGUUCUACGUGUAUGGAUGGUUGUUCUUCUGGUACUUGCAUCAAGUUAUACAGCAAGCUUUGCAGCAAUGCUUACUGUACAGCAGCUUUCACCAACAGUGACUGAUGUUCAUGAACUCCAGAAGAAUGGAGAAUAUGUAGGGUUCCACCAAGGUUCCUAUAUAGAUGGUCUAUUGGUGGAGAUUGGUUUUGAUACAUCAAAGAUCAGGGGCUAUGCUACACCUGAUGAUUUCUAUAGUGCUCUUUCUAACGGAAGCAUUGCUGCGGUUGUACUCGAAGUCCCAUAUAUUAAAUUGUUUCUCACAAAGUACAACAAAGGUUACACAAUGGUGGGGCCUAUUUACAAGAGUGCGGGUUUUGCAUUUGCGCUUCCCAAGAAUUCUCCGCUACGUCCUGAAAUGUCGACUGCAAUACUCAACAUAACCGGAGGAGAUACUAUCAAUCAGUUUGAAAAGAAAUGGAUAGGUCAAAAUAGCCAUGAAAAUGAUGACAUGCCUGAUGGUUCAGGCACUAUCAACUUCGAAAGUUGUGGGGGAUUAUUCCUCAUAUCUGGAAUUGUGACAACCGGUUCCCUUUUAGUAGCCAUGCUGAUGAGCCGCUACAAUAAACAUCAACAAAACGCAGGGAACAAACGGGAUGACCAGAAUGAAUCUGGACCUGGGCAAGAAAAGGAGAAAAUGGAAGAACAAGGAGAUCAAAACAGCAAUGGAGAGGGAACUCAAUUGAUGGAGGGCCAAACAACAUUGUGA